AGCUUUGCACCGUGGCAGUUAUCGUAGUCAAUGAGGUUUAUCCGAGGCGCGAUUAUUGCUAAUUGAAAACUUUUCUCAAAUUCUGCUCAGCAAGACCCUGGGAUAUUCUUUGGUGGUGUCUCAGAGAUUUCCUGACUCCCACUGAGA
This is a small nuclear RNA of Zalophus californianus (California sea lion), 147 nucleotides long. Its record names the gene U4. It matches the Rfam family "U4 spliceosomal RNA". Rfam says of the family: U4 small nuclear RNA (U4 snRNA) is a component of the major U2-dependent spliceosome. The structure of U4 snRNA from yeast and human has been reported. Lineage: Eukaryota; Metazoa; Chordata; Mammalia; Carnivora; Otariidae. The record is from Ensembl.